RNAcentral lists this long non-coding RNA (235 nucleotides) under Brassica napus (rape). RNAcentral describes it as "long non-coding RNA (BNAP_LNC009406)". The record is from RNAcentral. Lineage: Eukaryota; Viridiplantae; Streptophyta; Magnoliopsida; Brassicales; Brassicaceae.
AAUCUUAUUCCAAAACCCCACUUCCCAACUCUAAACCCUAAAACCUAAACUCUAAACUCUAAACCCUAAACCCUAAACCCUAAACUCUAAACUUUAAACCCUAAAUCCUAAACCCUAAAUCUUAACCCACCCCUUAACUCUAAACCCUAAACCCUAAACCCCACCACUAAACUCUAAACCCUAAAUCCUAAACUCUAAACCCUAAACCCUAAAUCUUAAAUCCUAAACUCCACCC